Molecule: ribosomal RNA, 830 nt
Filed under: Plectosphaerella humicola
Lineage: Eukaryota; Fungi; Ascomycota; Sordariomycetes; Glomerellales; Plectosphaerellaceae
Description: partial large subunit ribosomal RNA
Rfam family: Eukaryotic large subunit ribosomal RNA
Source: RNAcentral
UUGCCUCAGUAACGGCGAGUGAAGCGGCAACAGCUCAAAUUUGAAAUCUGGCUCCUUCGGGGUCCGAGUUGUAAUUUGCAGAGGAUGCGUCGGGUACGGGUCCCUACCGAGUUCCCUGGAACGGGACGCCAUAGAGGGUGAGAGCCCCGUCUGGUAGGAUACCCAGCCCAUGUGACGCUCCCUCGACGAGUCGAGUAGUUUGGGAAUGCUGCUCUAACGGGAGGUAUACUCCUUCCAAAGCUAAAUACCGGCUGGAGACCGAUAGCGCACAAGUAGAGUGAUCGAAAGAUGAAAAGCACUUUGAAAAGAGAGUCAAACAGCACGUGAAAUUGUUAAAAGGGAAGCACUCGCUACCAGACUUGGGUUUGGCGGUUCAACCGGGGCCACGCCCCGGGGCAUUCCGCCAGCUCAGGCCAGCAUCAGCUUUCCGUCGGGGGCAAAGACGUCGGGAAUGUGGCUCCCCUUCGGGGGAGUGUUAUAGCCCGGCGUGUCAUACCCUUCGGGGGGCUGAGGUACGCGCUUCUGCAAGGAUGCUGGCGUAAUGGUAGCUAGUGACCCGUCUUGAAACACGGACCAAGGAGUCAACCUUAUGUGCGAGUGCCCGGGCGUAAAACCCCAGCGCGGAAUGAAAGUGAACGUAGGUGAGAGCUUCGGCGCAUCACCGACCGAUCCUGAUGUCCUCGGACGGAUUUGAGUGAGAGCAUAUAGGGUUGGACCCGAAAGAAGAUGAACUAUGCGUGUGUAGGGUGAAGCCAGAGGAAACUCUGGUGGAGGCUCGCAGCGGUUCUGACGUGCAAAUCGAUCGUCAAACAUGCGCAUGGGGGCGAAAG